RNAcentral lists this transfer RNA (87 nucleotides) under Candidatus Poribacteria bacterium. Its description in RNAcentral is "tRNA-Leu". It matches the Rfam family "tRNA". From Rfam's summary of the family: Transfer RNA (tRNA) molecules are approximately 80 nucleotides in length. Their secondary structure includes four short double-helical elements and three loops (D, anti-codon, and T loops). The record is from RNAcentral. Lineage: Bacteria; Candidatus Poribacteria.
GGUCGAGUGGUGGAAUCGGUAGACACAAUGGACUUAAAAUCCAUCGCCCCUAACACAGGCGUGAGGGUUCAAGUCCCUCCUCGACCA